Molecule: long non-coding RNA, 311 nt
Filed under: Lathyrus oleraceus (garden pea)
Lineage: Eukaryota; Viridiplantae; Streptophyta; Magnoliopsida; Fabales; Fabaceae
Description: Pisum sativum (pea) long non-coding RNA (PSAT_LNC003912)
Source: RNAcentral
UAUUCGCAAAUUCGAAACUCGGUGAAAUUAUAUAAUUAAUGUAUCACAAUUUUGGUGGUAUACCGGCAUGACAUUGCCGGAUCCAUUUAUUUAAUUCGAGCUAAACAAAUUGAUAUUAUUGGACCGGAAUCUAUAUCUCUCACAGAAUUGGAUAGGCAUUUAACAAUAUGAUUCAAAUCUUAAUAACACAAGCCAACUAUGUGGUUAACAGAAUACCUAUGAUAAUAUGAGCUUAACGGAUUAACCACACCAAGCAGUAUUAGGAUGAUGAGAUAGAGCAAAAGUACCAAUCAGCACAUAUAAUAUCCAAG